Long non-coding RNA from Drosophila miranda, 175 nucleotides. RefSeq lists it as uncharacterized. Lineage: Eukaryota; Metazoa; Arthropoda; Insecta; Diptera; Drosophilidae. The transcript has 2 exons. The record is from RefSeq and is a predicted model, not a curated record.
GGACUGUCAAUUCUGAGAUGUACACGACCAUUUGUUUGCCGGAGGUCUUCGGAGACAUUCGCAAAACCAACUGCCGAGCACGAAUCAUUCUCCAUCAUGACAAUGCGAGCUCGCACACAUCUCGACAAACAGUCCUGACUUGGCACCCAAUGACUUCUUUUUAUUCCCUAACAUC